CCUACGGGAGGCAGCAGUGGGGAAUAUUGCACAAUGGGGGAAACCCUGAUGCAGCGACGCCGCGUGAGCGAUGAAGUAUUUCGGUAUGUAAAGCUCUAGCAGCAGGGAAGAAGAUGAGGGUACCUGACUAAGAAGCACCGGCUAACUACGUGCCAGCAGCCGCGGUAAUACGUAGGGGGCACACGUUAUCCGGAUUUACUGGGUGUAAAGGGAGCGUAGAAGGCGGUGCAAGCCAGAUGUGAAAGCCCGGGGCUCAACCCCGGGACUGCAUUUGGAACUGUAUGGCUGGAGUGUCGGAGAGGCAGGCGGAAGUCCUGGUGUAGCGGUGAAAUGCGUAGAUAUUAGGAGGAACACCAGUGGCGAAGGCGGCCUGCUGGACGAUGACUGACGUUGAGGCUCGAAAGCGUGGGGAGCAAACAGGAUUAGAUACCCCAGUAGUC
RNAcentral lists this ribosomal RNA (440 nucleotides) under uncultured bacterium. RNAcentral describes it as "partial 16S ribosomal RNA". It matches the Rfam family "Bacterial small subunit ribosomal RNA", at positions 338 to 795 of the family's 1533-position model. The record is from RNAcentral.